RNAcentral lists this ribosomal RNA (301 nucleotides) under uncultured bacterium. RNAcentral's name for it is "partial 16S ribosomal RNA". It matches the Rfam family "Bacterial small subunit ribosomal RNA", at positions 509 to 808 of the family's 1533-position model. The record is from RNAcentral.
CAGCCGCCACGGUAAUACAGAGGGUGCGAGCGUUAAUCGGAAUUACUGGGCGUAAAGCGCGCGUAGGUGGUUCGCCAAGUUGGAUGUGAAAUCCCCGGGCUCAACCUGGGAACUGCAUCCAAAACUGGCGAGCUAGAGUAUGGUAGAGGGUGGUGGAAUUUCCUGUGUAGCGGUGAAAUGCGUAGAUAUAGGAAGGAACAUCAGUGGCGAAGGCGACCACCUGGACUGAUACUGACACUGAGGUGCGAAAGCGUGGGGAGCAAACAGGAUUAGAGACCCCCGUAGUCCCUGUCUCUUUACA